AACCAUCAACCCUGAAAACAACCCCCUCCAUUCACCAUAUGUGGCCCCCUCCUGACCCUUAGCACCAUUUGAGAAGAUGAACAAUAGAGUUUGCUAAUCACAGGCAUCAUGCUCAUCUUCCAACUCUGGUGGACUCAACAAUGAUAUUAGCUUCGUUCUCAUUCCCAUGGGAUCUCCUCAGGGUUCCUUGGGAUUAACAAAAGAUUUAAUGACAUUGUUCAUGAAGAAACGAACACUUACAACAUAAAUAUGCAGGGCAAAACAAUGGAACACAUGAAAAGGGUGAAAAAUAUACCUAUGUCAAAAAAAGUGUAAAUCAUGAUGCUCAGAGUCCUUGUUGGUGACAUCGUGAUGCUUACAAUGUCCCUAUUUCUCAUUAGAACACCACAAAUAAUAAAGAGAUGGCAGAAGCAAAAACGAAAUAUGAAACCAAAAACAUCAAAACGUUUCCUUCGUGGAAUAUCCUUACCAUACAAACCACACAACUUCAGAGAAAAAAAAAUGCCAAUGGGUUCUUACCUUAAGAGCGAGGUGCUUAUUGCCAAAGGUCGUGAUGAUGAGAUUAAAUAUAUAGGGUUUGGAAAUGAAGAACAAAAGAAUUGAUGGUGAGGGUUUCGAAAUUAGGAACUUCAAAAUUAUAUUCAGAAGAAAAUACACACAAAAACAUAACUUUGCUAGAAAAAAUGAUCGUUCCACGUACCUGUUGCAACAACGAACCAAGGAUUGCGGCGAUAAUGGCGGCCAAACAUUGUGAGAAGAGUGAGAAGGGUGAUAUGGUUUGCGGUGAGACUGAGAACAGUGAGAGUGAGAACGUUAGCAGUGAGAUUGAGAAAAAAGGUUUCAGUGAGAAUGAGAAGAGGGUUUGCGGUGAGAUUAAGAAGAAGGGUUUUAGUGAGAAUGAGAAGAGGGUUUG
Molecule: long non-coding RNA, 913 nt
Filed under: Phaseolus vulgaris (common bean)
Lineage: Eukaryota; Viridiplantae; Streptophyta; Magnoliopsida; Fabales; Fabaceae
Description: long non-coding RNA (PVUL_LNC001266)
Source: RNAcentral